This 129-nucleotide ribosomal RNA is filed under the name Salmonella enterica. RNAcentral's name for it is "partial 23S ribosomal RNA". It matches the Rfam family "Bacterial large subunit ribosomal RNA", at positions 1 to 119 of the family's 2925-position model. The record is from RNAcentral. Lineage: Bacteria; Pseudomonadati; Pseudomonadota; Gammaproteobacteria; Enterobacterales; Enterobacteriaceae. RNAcentral also lists the same sequence under 3 other names.
GGGUUGUGAGGUUAAGCGACUAAGCGUACACGGUGGAUGCCCUGGCAGUCAGAGGCGAUGAAGGGCGUGCUAAUCUGCGAUAAGCGCCGGUAAGGUGAUAUGAACCGUUAUAACCGGCGAUACCCGAAU